UAGAGAAGCACACAUGACACACACACACUCAAGUUCAUAGAACAUCAAAGGUGCUUGGCUUUGCUCGUUCAAUCAACUAGUCAGCUGGUUAUCAUAUCUAUCCCAAACUAGCACCAUGAUGGCACCAGGGAAAGGAACAUUGCUCCUCCUGGUCUUGGCUAUGGUAAUUUGUGUAGGUUGUGUGAGUGGUACAGCGGCGUCAUGUACCAAGGCUCAAAAGGACAGCGUCCUAGUAUUAUGUAAUGGAAGCAUCAAGAAGGGAAAAUCUGAUCCCCUAUCCAAAAAAAGCAUGUGUUGUAAGUAUGUGAGAAACAUAGACACGAUCUGCAUCGUCAGUCUUCUUACAGACAAAGAGAAGAAACAAUACAACGAAUAUAAGAUUCGAAACCUUAGGAAAGACUGCUCACUUGCUCCUUCGGCGGCACUUGAUCUGGUCACGGUGUAAAGCGACGCAUGCUAUUGCUCCUGAAGGGCAUAAUAAAAAGUUGGAGAGGAGAUAUAUACAUCUGGUAGUUAUCUACUCCAGUAAAAUCAAUCUAGUUGUGAUAUGUUGUGACAUAUGUAUUGAUUUCAUGGAAUAAUAUAAUGUGUUGUCCAGCUUGAUCCAAAA
Long non-coding RNA from Sorghum bicolor (sorghum), 610 nucleotides. RefSeq lists it as uncharacterized. The transcript is spliced from 2 exons. The record is from RefSeq and is a predicted model, not a curated record. NCBI's taxonomy places the organism in Eukaryota, Viridiplantae, Streptophyta, Magnoliopsida, Poales, Poaceae.